RNAcentral lists this ribosomal RNA (1235 nucleotides) under metagenome. Its description in RNAcentral is "bacterial LSU rRNA". It matches the Rfam family "Bacterial large subunit ribosomal RNA", at positions 1564 to 2808 of the family's 2925-position model. The record is from RNAcentral.
UGAGUACAAGAUGCUACGGCAUUGAAGCAGUCUAUGUCAUACUUCCAAGAAAAGCUUGCAAUGUCAUAAACAAAUAAUGCCUGUACCAUAACCGACACAGGUGGGUAGGUAGAGUAUACUAAGGGGCGCGAGAUAACUCUCUCUAAGGAACUCGGCAAAAUGACUCCGUAACUUCGGGAGAAGGAGUACCUUAUUUUAUAAGGUUGCAAUAACAAGGUCCAAGCAACUGUUUACCAAAAACACAGGUCUCCGCUAAGUCGUAAGACGAUGUAUGGGGGCUGACACCUGCCCAGUGCCAGAAGGUUAAAGAAGUUGGUUAGCAUUAGCGAAGCUGAUAACUGAAGCCCUGGUGAACGGCGGCCGUAACUAUAACGGUCCUAAGGUAGCGAAAUUCCUUGUCGGGUAAGUUCCGACCCGCACGAAAGGCGUAAUGAUUUGGAUACUGUCUCGGAGAGGGGCUCGGUGAAAUAGACUUGUCUGUGAAGAUGCGGACUACCUGCACCUGGACAGAAAGACCCUAUGAAGCUUUACUGUAACUUGAGAUUGAAAUUGGACUUUAUUUGCGCAGUAUAGGUGGGAGACCUCGAAAGUAUUCUUGCGGGAAUAUUGGAGUCAUCAGUGAGAUACCACUCUUAUAAUGUUAGAUUUCUAACUUUGUAUCAUUAUCUGGUCAAAGAACAGUUUCAGGCGGGCAGUUUGACUGGGGCGGUCGCCUCCCAAAUGGUAACGGAGGCGCACAAAGGUUUCCUCUGAACGUGUAGAAAUCGUAUCUAGAGUGUAAAGGCAUAAGGAAGCUUGACUGUGAGACCUACAAGUCGAGCAGGGACGAAAGUCGGUCUUAGUGAUCUGACGGUGCUGAGUGGAAAGGCCGUCACUCAACGGAUAAAAGUUACUCUAGGAUAACAGGCUGAUCUCCCCCAAGAGUUCACAUCGACGGGGAGGUUUGGCACCUCGAUGUCGGCUCAUCGCAUCCUGGGGCGGUAGUACGUCCCAAGGGUUGGGCUGUUCGCCCAUGAAAGCGGUACGCGAGCUGGGUUCAGAACGUCGUGAGACAGUUCGGUCCAUAUCCGGUGUAGGCGUUAGAAUAUUGAGAGGAGCCUUCUUUAGUACGAGAGGACCGAGAAGGACAUACCUCUGGUGUACCAGUUAUCGUGCCAACGGUAAACGCUGGGUAGCUAUGUAUGGAGAGGAUAACCGCUGAAAGCAUCUAAGUGGGAAGCCCACCUCAAGAUAAG